CCAACAGAAGAGCUUUCUAUCUUCUCUCUUGGGGCAAGAUUUGCAAACCUAAGAAUAGAGGUGGCCUUGGUCUGCAAUCCUUGUGCAUUAAACAAUUGGCUCUAAUAGAAAAAAUUGCUAUUAAUCUCAUCCUUCAUCCUACCUCUCUUUGAGCCCAACUUGUCUUCUCAAAGUAUAAAUUUUCUAACACUUGGAUGGGCUAUCGUAGACCUCGUAGAUCCUCAGUUAUUUAGUCUAAAAUUAGCACUAUUGGAGCCCAGCUGCAACAAAAUUUAAUCUAGAUGGUGGGCACCAGCACCUCUGUCAAUGCAUUUCAUGACCCCUGGCUCUCAAAUGUGCCACUAUCUAGAUGUCCUACUUUUGUGAAUGCUGAAAUUGACUUAGCUUCUCUUCAAGUUGCUGAUUUCAUUACCACUGAUCGUAAAUGAGAUGUUCAGGCCUUCACAACUUGUUUUAAUGCUAAUAUGAUGCUGCCAUCAUGCAAAUACCAAUUCCUUUGCAUCCAUGGCCUGAGCAGCUUACUUGAUUUCAUACAGCCUCUUCUAAAGUUUCUGUAUCGGAUAUUGCUACAGUUAUUUCAAUACAUAACCCUAUUAAUUACGACGCACAAAAUUUUCAAUAGAUUUGGAAACUUUCAGUUCAAAUAAGGGUGAAAUGCUUUCUCUGAAAAUUUCUAUGGAAUUGUUUACCUUACAAACUUACUCUCAAUCAAAUGGGCAUUAUUCCUGACAAUAUGCUUUAUUGUGAUCUCUGUGCUAAUAUGAUGGAAGAUUCUGAGUAUGUUAUUAUAUCUUGCCCUUUUGCUAACCAAUGCUGGGCACGGCUCGCCAUGACUUCUGAGCAAUUUUUCAUUCCUCCUUUGCCGGCUUUGACUACCUAUGUAGCAAAUGCCAAGGUAGAGAAGAGGACCAAAGCGAUGGUAAGUCACAUGGCCUAGCUGAUAUGGAAGAGCAGAAAUGAAUAGAUCUUUCAGCAGCUUACUACUCCUCCCCCUUAACUGGUUGCUCCCUCCCUUUGGCAAACUCCUUUUAAAUUUCGAUGCUUCAAGGCAGCCUGACAAAAUUGGAGUUGCUUUCAUCAUAAGAGACGCCAAAGGCUAUCUGUUGCUUGCUCAAGGGUGAUUCCUUAAUAGUAAUCCAUUGGAUUACUACCUCCUCUUCAUGCGAUCUUGCAAAGUUUACAAUCUUCAAGGAUCUCAUGGCUCUUGAGGAUAUUCUCCCAGCUUGCUAUAUUUCACAUAUUAAAAGGGAGCAAAAUCAAGCUACAGACUGGUUGUCCAAAUUUGCUCUAAGGGGUGGCUUUUCCUUGGCGUCAGGAGAUCCAACUCUUCUUUUGAUAUAAAUUUUGCAAAAUGACAGACUUCAUAUUGAGCAUGCCACUCUAUAGCACUACAAGUUUUUACCCUCUUGUCUGUUGCUAUUGUCUCACACAGAUAUAUUCCUUCAAGAGGGCUGUUUUUAUCGUGGCACGCUUAAUGGCACAAUG
Elaeis guineensis (African oil palm) is the source of this 1485-nucleotide non-coding RNA. The record is from RefSeq and is a predicted model, not a curated record. NCBI's taxonomy places the organism in Eukaryota, Viridiplantae, Streptophyta, Magnoliopsida, Arecales, Arecaceae.